CCUACGGGUGGCAGCAGUGAGGAAUAUUGGUCAAUGGACGGAAGUCUGAACCAGCCAUGCCGCGUGCAUGAAGACGGCUCUAUGAGUUGUAAACUGCUUUUGUACAAGGGUAAACCUGAAUACUUGUAUUCAGCUCAAAGUACUGUACGAAUAAGGAUCGGCUAACUCCGUGCCAGCAGCCGCGGUAAUACGGAGGAUCCAAGCGUUAUCCGGAUUUAUUGGGUUUAAAGGGUGCGUAGGCGGAUUGAUAAGUUAGAGGUGAAAUGUCCGAGCUUAACUCGGGAACUGCCUCUAAUACUGUUGGGCUAGAGAGUAGAUGAGGUAGGCGGAAUGUAAGGUGUAGCGGUGAAAUGCUUAGAGAUCAUACAGAACACCGAUGGCGAAGGCAGCUUACCAAUCUAUAUCUGACGUUGAGGCACGAAAGCGUGGGGAGCAAACAGGAUUAGAUACCCGGGUAGUC
RNAcentral lists this ribosomal RNA (460 nucleotides) under uncultured bacterium. RNAcentral describes it as "partial 16S ribosomal RNA". It matches the Rfam family "Bacterial small subunit ribosomal RNA", at positions 338 to 795 of the family's 1533-position model. The record is from RNAcentral.